This 494-nucleotide ribosomal RNA is filed under the name uncultured bacterium. RNAcentral's name for it is "partial 16S ribosomal RNA". It matches the Rfam family "Bacterial small subunit ribosomal RNA", at positions 28 to 507 of the family's 1533-position model. The record is from RNAcentral.
GACGAACGCUGGCGGCGCGCUUAACACAUGCAAGUCGAACGGAAAGGCCUGCUUUCCCUUGUGGAUUGCGGGUACUCGAGUGGCGAACGGGUGAGUAACACGUGAGUGAUCUGCCCCCAACUUGGGUAUAAGCCUGGGAAACUGGGUCUAAUUCCCGAUAGGACUGCAGGGUGGUGCCUGUGGUGGAAAACGAUUUUCUAGUGGUUGGGGAUGAGCUCGCGGCCUAUCAGCUUGUUGGUGGGGUAAUGGACUACCAAGGCGGCGACGGGUAGCCGGCCUGAGAGGGUGGACGGCCACAUUGGGACUGAGAUACGGCCCAGACGCCUACGGGAGGCAGCAGUGGGGAAUAUUGCACAAUGGGCGGAAGCCUGAUGCAGCGACGCCGCGUGGGGGAUGACGGCCUUCGGGUUGUAAACUCCUUUCGACCGCGAGGAAGCCACCUGGUUGGAAGGGUGGUGACGGUAGUGGUAGAAGAAGCACCGGCUAACUACGUG